Molecule: ribosomal RNA, 453 nt
Filed under: uncultured bacterium
Lineage: Bacteria
Description: bacterial SSU rRNA
Rfam family: Bacterial small subunit ribosomal RNA
Source: RNAcentral
GAUGAACGCUGGCGGCGUGCCUAACACAUGCAAGUCGAGCGAGAAGCUUAUGACGGAUCCUUCGGAUGACGGAUUAAGUGGAAAGCGGCGGACGGGUGAGUAACGCGUGAGAAUCUGCCUGUGGGUCGGGGACAACCACUGGAAACGGUGGCUAAUACCGGAUGAGCCGAAAGGUAAAAGAUUUAUUGCCCACAGAUGAGCUCGCGUCUGAUUAGCUAGUUGGUAAGGUAAAAGCGUACCAAGGCGACGAUCAGUAGCUGGUCUGAGAGGAUGAGCAGCCACACUGGGACUGAGACACGGCCCAGACUCCUACGGGAGGCAGCAGUGGGGAAUUUUCCGCAAUGGGCGAAAGCCUGACGGAGCAAGACCGCGUGGGGGAGGAAGGUUUUGGAUCGUAAACCCUUUUGUCAAGGAGAAGCUCUGACGGUACUUGACGAAUAAGCCUCGGCUAAC